This 497-nucleotide ribosomal RNA is filed under the name uncultured bacterium. Its description in RNAcentral is "partial 16S ribosomal RNA". It matches the Rfam family "Bacterial small subunit ribosomal RNA", at positions 28 to 507 of the family's 1533-position model. The record is from RNAcentral.
GAUGAACGCUGGCGGCGUGCCUAAUACAUGCAAGUCGAGCGAACGGACGAGGAGCUUGCUUCUCUGAUGUUAGCGGCGGAGGGGUGAGUAACACGUGGAUAACCUCCCUAUCAGACUGGGAUAACUACGGGAAACCGGAUCUAAUACCGGAUGAUCUUUUGAACCGCAUGGUUCAAAGGUGAAAUACGGCCUUUCUGUCACUUCUCGAUGGAUCUGCGCUGGAUUGGCUAGUUGGUAAGGUCACAGAUUACCAAGGCUACGAUGCAUAGCCGACCUGAGAGGGUGAGCAGCCGCCCUGGAAGUGAGACACGCCACAGAGGCAUAGGGGAGGCAGCCGGAGGGAAACUUCAGGAAGGGGCGAAAGCCAGAGGGCACUACGCCGCGGGAGUGAUGAAGGUCGUCGGAUCGUAAAACUCUGCUAUUAGGGAAGAACAUAUGUUUAAGUAACUGGGAACAUCUUGACGGUACCUAAGCAGAAAGCCACGGCUAACUACCUU